GGUGGUGUACAUAACCCCCGAGGUGGGGAUGUUUCUCAUCCAACCGACAGCAGCGAGGGAGGCCCUGCCCGCCGGCCCGGACCUCGCGCCGCUGUGCCCGGAGGGCCGGAAAUGUGCCAGAGCCUCCAGCGGAGUCAUGGUUACACCAAAGCCACGGCCAUGGUCCGGGGGUCUGUCCUCCCAGCUGCGGGGCUCUGACUGCGCUCCUCCGCCCGCUGCCCUCACGGGUGGGGAGGCCGGAGCCCACACUCGAGGUGGGGGCGCACCUUGUCCGUGUAGGUGAAGAAGAGGACGGCAACGGUGGCCUCCAGCAGGAACACCAGCAGCAGCACCACGAAGAACUGCAGGCAAGGACCGCCAGCCUCAGCGACCAGGCCUGACCUGGCCCCAGGGCGCGGGCCCAGAGAGCGCCAGGCCCCUCGUGGAGCCCCGCCUCCCUCGGAGGCCCGUCUCCACCCCAGGGGCCGUCACGUCUCACCCCACCUCAGAGCCCAGGCUUCGGCCGUGGCGCACCCACGUGUGCUCCAUACGUCCCACGAAGCCAAUGGCCAUCACGAGGGUGCCGGUGGCGAUGAGCAGGUUGGCGGCCGACAGCGACGGGAAGGAGGAGGACAGGGUGGCAAAGUUGCCCUGCGUGGCAGCCAGCCAGAUGCCGACACCCAGGAUGCCGCAGCCUCCUAGCUGGGGUCCCGGGACAGGCAGAGAGGGGCCGAGAUCGGUCAGCACACAAGGACGAUCGGGGAGAGAGCCAGGCGGCGGCGCGUCCAGGGAGGCCUCCGGGCCUUCCGUGAUGACGGGACGCCCGGCGGGGCGCAGGGGAGGGCCAGGUGGGCAGAGAGCACUGUGGCUCCUGUGUGGAGCCACAAAUGCUGACCAGCCUAGGGCCUCCGGCAGCCUGGGCACGGGGAGGCCACCUGAACUGAGUGCUUGGGGAAGGCCAGGUAGCCCGGGGGUCCCCGCCCCCCUCCAGGACUGGUCGGGUCAUGGGGGCCUGCACCCCUGGGCCCAGGAGCCUUCUCAAUGCCUGGUCUCGACCCCGGCAGGGACCCCACGACUUAGGCCAGAUGGGCCCCGAGACCCCGCCCAAGGAGGCCGUCCCACUGCCCCCACCAGCCCCCCAGCCCUGGCUGCAGGGGUGGGGCAGGCGCUGCUCCACUCUCACUAAGCCCCCGGCGAGCACACAAGUGCCCUAAGCCAGGCUGGCAGGAGACCGCAGUCGCGGGGGCACACAGCCCCCAGCCUGAGGGCCGAACGGCCAGGGGCUCCUGCUGGUGCU
RNAcentral lists this long non-coding RNA (1276 nucleotides) under Sus scrofa (pig). Its description in RNAcentral is "lncRNA (ENSSSCG00040021999.1)". The record is from RNAcentral. Lineage: Eukaryota; Metazoa; Chordata; Mammalia; Artiodactyla; Suidae.